UGUGGCUCAGUGGUAAAGCAGUUGUCUAGCACGCAAGAGGCCCUGGGUUCCAUCCCCAGCA
This 61-nucleotide transfer RNA is filed under the name Mus musculus (house mouse). It matches the Rfam family "tRNA", at positions 6 to 65 of the family's 71-position model. Rfam says of the family: Transfer RNA (tRNA) molecules are approximately 80 nucleotides in length. Their secondary structure includes four short double-helical elements and three loops (D, anti-codon, and T loops). The record is from Rfam by way of RNAcentral. Lineage: Eukaryota; Metazoa; Chordata; Mammalia; Rodentia; Muridae.